Octopus bimaculoides (California two-spot octopus) is the source of this 103-nucleotide non-coding RNA. Lineage: Eukaryota; Metazoa; Mollusca; Cephalopoda; Octopoda; Octopodidae. The record is from Rfam.
GUAUUAGUGCAGCAAUACAUAUACUAAAAUAGGGACGACACAGAUAUUAACAUGGCCCCUGUAAAAGGAUGACACGCAAAUUCGUAAAGCAUUUCAUUUUAUU